Molecule: ribosomal RNA, 678 nt
Filed under: Brevibacillus invocatus
Lineage: Bacteria; Bacillati; Bacillota; Bacilli; Caryophanales; Paenibacillaceae
Description: bacterial SSU rRNA
Rfam family: Bacterial small subunit ribosomal RNA
Source: RNAcentral
UCCACCCCGUAAAAGAUGAGUGCUAGGUGUUAGGGGUUUCAAUCCCUUUAGUGCCGCAGCUAACGCAAUACGCACUCCGCCUGGGGAGUACUGUCGCAAGACUGAAACUCAAAGGAAUUGACGGGGGCCCGCACAAGCGGUGGAGCAUGUGGUUUAAUUAGAAGCAACGAGAAGAACCUUCCCAGGUCUUGACAUCCCGCUGACCGCUCUGGAGACAGAGUUUCCCUUCGGGGCAGCGGUGACAGGUGGUGCAUGGUUGUCGUCAGCUCGUGUCGUGAGAUGUUGGGUUAAGUCCCGCAACGAGCGCAACCCUUAUUUUUAGUUGCCAGCAUUCAGUUGGGCACUCUAGAGAGACUGCCGUCGACAAGACGGAGGAAGGCGGGGAUGACGUCAAAUCAUCAUGCCCCUUAUGACCUGGGCUACACACGUGCUACAAUGGUUGGUACAACGGGAUGCUACCUCGCGAGAGGAUGCCAAUCUCUUAAAACCAAUCUCAGUUCGGAUUGUAGGCUGCAACUCGCCUACAUGAAGCCGGAAUCGCUAGUAAUCGCGGAUCAGCAUGCCGCGGUGAAUACGUUCCCGGGCCUUGUACACACCGCCCGUCACACCACGGGAGUUUGCAACACCCGAAGUCGGUGAGGUCACCACAACGUGCCAACAUAACGCGUAGUGUAAUAC